UGCAGUCGAACGCUGAAGCACCAGCUUGCUGGUGUGGAUGAGUGGCGAACGGGUGAGUAAUACGUGAGUAACCUGCCCUUGACUCUGGGAUAAGCCCGGGAAACUGGGUCUAAUACUGGAUGCUACAUGUCACCGCAUGGUGGUGUGUGGAAAGGGUUUACUGGUCUUGGAUGGGCUCACGGCCUAUCAGCUUGUUGGUGAGGUAAUGGCUCACCAAGGCGACGACGGGUAGCCGGCCUGAGAGGGUGACCGGCCACACUGGGACUGAGACACGGCCCAGACUCCUACGGGAGGCAGCAGUGGGGAAUAUUGCACAAUGGGCGAAAGCCUGAUGCAGCGACGCCGCGUGAGGGAUGACGGCCUUCGGGUUGUAAACCUCUUUCAGCAGGGAAGAAGCCACAAGUGACGGUACCUGCAGAAGAAGCGCCGGCUAACUACGUGCCAGCAGCCGCGGUAAUACGUAGGGCGCAAGCGUUGUCCGGAAUUAUUGGGCGUAAAGAGCUCGUAGGCGGUUUGUCGCGUCUGCUGUGAAAGCCCGGGGCUUAACCCCGGGUGUGCAGUGGGUACGGGCAGACUAGAGUGCAGUAGGGGAGACUGGAAUUCCUGGUGUAGCGGUGGAAUGCGCAGAUAUCAGGAGGAACACCGAUGGCGAAGGCAGGUCUCUGGGCUGUUACUGACGCUGAGGAGCGAAAGCAUGGGGAGCGAACAGGAUUAGAUACCCUGGUAGUCCAUGCCGUAAACGUUGGGCACUAGGUGUGGGGGACAUUCCACGUUUUCCGCGCCGUAGCUAACGCAUUAAGUGCCCCGCCUGGGGAGUACGGCCGCAAGGCUAAAACUCAAAGGAAUUGACNNCANNNGNGGGNNGCUANCAUGCAGUCGAACGCUGAAGCACCAGCUUGCUGGUGUGGAUGAGUGGCGAACGGGUGAGUAAUACGUGAGUAACCUGCCCUUGACUCUGGGAUAAGCCCGGGAAACUGGGUCUAAUACUGGAUGCUACAUGUCACCGCAUGGUGGUGUGUGGAAAGGGUUUACUGGUCUUGGAUGGGCUCA
RNAcentral lists this ribosomal RNA (1050 nucleotides) under Kocuria palustris. RNAcentral's name for it is "bacterial SSU rRNA". The stretch from base 1 to 899 matches the Rfam family "Bacterial small subunit ribosomal RNA". The record is from RNAcentral. Lineage: Bacteria; Bacillati; Actinomycetota; Actinomycetes; Micrococcales; Micrococcaceae.